GGGAUGACAAUGAACACUUUUACCAAGCUGGGUCCCCUUGGUGGAGGUGUUAAAUCGCUGGAAAUAAUUCAAUGUAUGCUUGCGUUGAGGAUAAGGAUGAACUAUGAAGUUGGUUUUAAUUUUGCCUCAGCUUUGUGUGAGUAUACAAUCUUUCAAGUUGGAAACAUCCAAAUUCAGGACAACAGAUUUUGAAAGCCUAAAAAUAGUGUUUUUAUAUGCAGAUACAGAUUUUCAAAGGAGGAAGCUUUGGUAAUGGAUCUUUAUAUGCUGUUUCUCAUUCUAAAGGAAGGAUGCAAGAUUCCCUUACGGUUGUAGAGGAAGACAGUGAGGCUGUUGCUGGUUUGGAAAGAGGAAACCCAAAUAAAAAGGAAAAAAGAAAGGAGCUUCAUUGGAAGAUCAUGCGCGCUGGUGAAUUUUACCACCAUCUAACUUUUCUAUCAGAAUCAACUCUGAACAGGUAGACUAGAAGGAUAUGUUAUUCCGAGAGUAAGAUGUCUUUUUGAAAAUGGUAUAUUUUACUAGGGGAUGAAGAACUAGGAAAGUCACAAGUAAUUAGAAAUAUAGCUGAUUAGGCUGCGAUAUUAAUGCCUUAUGCUAUUGACAACUUAUAAUUGGACACUGGCUUUUUCUGUUAUCAGUAGCUUUGGCAUUUCGGCAAAGAGGUUUUUUUGUUUAUGCUUGCCAGUCAGUCACUUGUACUAUAAUAGAUUUUGACUAGGUAUUUAUUGCAUUGUGUUUCUUACAGAUUUAGCUUCGAUUUGAUUCUGUUCCUAUUAUCUAGGUCAUUAAUUUUAUUUUUUUUAAUUCCUGUUCCACUAUCUCAACUACAUUAUAUUCUUUCAUUCUAUUUAGAGAACCCAUAUAUGGCAUGACAUGACCUCUAAUGGAUUCAUAUGAAUUGAUUUCUACUAUUUGAUUUCAUCACAUGCUACUUAAAUUUCAGUCACUUUCGUCUUUGAUUUCCGCCAAUUCAUCUUGUUUGUUCACUAAAUUAUUUGUGUUGUUUAGCACCUCUUUAUCUAUAUUCAGUAAACCUUUCUCUAAGUUCUACUCCAUGUUUACUUUUUCAUCUCUGCAAUUGUCAACCUUUCAUGCCUCUUGCAGAAUCUCGCCUCUUUGUUCCUCUAUUCAAAUUCAUGUUUGCAUUUUAUCUAUACACAGACAUAGUUAAAUCUUUUUAUUUUCUUUACACCAAAAAAAACACCUUUUGUAAUGGUUACGCAUCACCUUCACCUUCUAUAGCGCUUCUGAACACAGAAGCAAGUCAUGGAAAAUUUAUUGUUGUCACUGGUCAGAAUUGUUUGAGCACUUGCUAGUUCCAAAAUAGAAGCAAGUAUAGGAAAGGAUUUGAAGGAAGUUGAACUACUCCAAUACUAGUGAACCUUAAACUUACUUUCCUGUUAAAUCAACCCUGAACAUGCAAGCCAGAUAAUAAAUUUGGAGAGUUAAAUGAAUCCUUAUAAAGAGAGAAGAAGUGUAACUUGGAUUUAUUAGUCUCUGGCACUAUGGUUAUAAAGCUGCUUUUUCAUUUGUUUGUACUAAAUGAUUUGCCCUAUCUUUCAAUGUAAUUUCCUGGAAGGUUUCUGUUUUAUGUCUUGCUAUGAAUUCCUUGUACCAAAUUGCUGAUAAUCUUGGAGUUCUCUUCAUUGUUGCAUAAUCAACAUGGUGGAGUCCAAAUCUUAUUGUAUAUCCACGUAGCCACUCAAAGUUGUCGAGUAAGGACCAGCCAAAAUAGCCCCUAACAUCUGCUCCUUUCCUGAUUAAAUGGUAAAUGGGGAAACACAAAUGAAGGAUUUUAAUUUAAAUUUCCUCUAACGUUUCACUAGUGAGCAGAUUUGAGUAUGUGUUUAUACAAACAAAAAGAAGGCCAGUGAUAUUAUGUGCAAGUGUAUAUUUUCAGAAUGCAUUUCAUAUAGCUGGAUGUUUAUGUUCUUACCUUAUUGCUUCCAUUAGGGCAUCUAAAUGACCCGCCAUGUAAUCUUUUCUGUUGAAAUCAUUAAGAUAUUCCUCCUCAGUGUUAUUUGGGUUGUCCAACGCAGAAUAUCCUGUAAAACAAUCUAUUCAAACAAAAAUACACAUAAGCUUUAUCCACUAAAUGACUCUUUAGGUUAUGCUUACCAUUUUCACUAAUAAACAUUGGAGUGUUGUUGUAUCUGUUUUUUACAUAGGUGACCAUUUUCUCCAUGCCUUGUGGGUAAACAUAUUUCGAAUCAAUUGGAAUCUGCAUGUUUAUAGAGGUCUCAGAGUCAGGCAUGUAAUGUAAAUGGAGACUGUUAGUGAUAGAUAAAGACCAUCAAUUACAAAGGUCUAUCAUAGGAGAAAUAAGGGAUUGAAUAGUAAUGGGCCUAUCUGAUAAAGAGGGGUUUAGUUGAGGGUUUGGAAAUGAAUUAAAGAUAGUCAGUUAGAUUGUUUGACAGCUGCAACUGUCAGUUAGAUACAGUUGUUACAAUUCCAAUAAAGAUGGAAGUGUAGUUAGAAAGGAUUCAUUCAAGAAUUAGAUCAGUUUUGGGAGAGAUUAACCUCUCGAAUGCGAGAAUUGUAAACACAAAUUCGUUCUCUGUUCUGUUCUUUCUUUUCAUCUACUUCUAUCUGAUCCAGUUUCUAUCAGUUAGUUUCAAUAUUAUAGAUCAUGGGGUUGAAGAUGCAUACAGGUUCCCCAAUUGGACUUAGUUGGUAUGAACCCUCUGUUUUGGUGAUCCCAGGUCCCGGUUCACACAUGGAAUAGAUGCAGUCCUUGACAUAGUAACUCGCAUAGUGAUUGAUGCCGAUGAAA
This 2773-nucleotide long non-coding RNA is filed under the name Lotus japonicus. Its description in RNAcentral is "long non-coding RNA (LJAP_LNC002234)". Lineage: Eukaryota; Viridiplantae; Streptophyta; Magnoliopsida; Fabales; Fabaceae. The record is from RNAcentral.